UAGCUAGUUGGUGGGGUAAGGGCCUACCAAGGCGACGAUCGGUAGCUGGUCUGAGAGGAUGGCCAGCCACACUGGAACUGAGACACGGUCCAGACUCCUACGGGAGGCAGCAGUGGGGAAUAUUGGACAAUGGGGGCAACCCUGAUCCAGCAAUGCCGCGUGUGUGAAGAAGGCCUGAGGGUUGUAAAGCACUUUCAGUGGGGAGGAGGGUUGACUGUUUAAGAGAUGGUUAAUUGGACGUUACCCACAGAAGAAGCACCGGCUAACUCCGUGCCAGCAGCCGCGGUAAUACGGAGGGUGCGAGCGUUAAUCGGAAUUACUGGGCGUAAAGGGUUCGUAGGUGGUUGGAUAAGUUAUGUGUAAAAUCCCUGGGCUCAACCUGGGCAUGUCAGAUAAUACUGUUUAACUCGAGUAUGGGAGAGGGUAGUGGAAUUUCCGGUGUAGCGGUGAAAUGCGUAGAGAUCGGAAGGAACACCAGUGGCGAAGGCGGCUACCUGGCCUAAUACUGACACUGAGGAACGAAAGCGUGGGGAGCAAACAGGAUUAGAUACCCUGGUAGUCCACGCUGUAAACGAUGUCAACUAGCUGUUGGAUAUAUGAAUAUAUUUAGUGGCGC
This 616-nucleotide ribosomal RNA is filed under the name uncultured Legionella sp. RNAcentral describes it as "bacterial SSU rRNA". It matches the Rfam family "Bacterial small subunit ribosomal RNA", at positions 242 to 849 of the family's 1533-position model. Lineage: Bacteria; Pseudomonadati; Pseudomonadota; Gammaproteobacteria; Legionellales; Legionellaceae. The record is from RNAcentral.